Long non-coding RNA from Vespula pensylvanica (western yellowjacket), 1620 nucleotides. RefSeq lists it as uncharacterized. The transcript is spliced from 8 exons. The record is from RefSeq and is a predicted model, not a curated record. NCBI's taxonomy places the organism in Eukaryota, Metazoa, Arthropoda, Insecta, Hymenoptera, Vespidae.
AUUUCAAAUCCUCAUUAAUUAUUUAUAUACUUAAUAUAUAUAUAACUUUUAACGUUUAUUCUGAAGAAAAAAGAAAAUAUCGAUGAGGGAAUGUCGUCAUUCGUAAGGAAGAUUUACAAUGAGACGAGCAAUUUAUAAACAACAGCAUUGAGAACAGCAGAUUACAUUUAUCAAUUCAAGGCCACACGAUAGGAAGUCCUAUUGUGUGUGAUUUGCCUUUGGGCAUGUCCUUCUAUACGUAUAGAUGAAAUCACAACCGCAGAUAGACCAAAGAAAAUAAGAAAGUUUCUUAUCCCAACGAAAAAUAUGAUUUAUGAGUCAACUUUUUUGAAGAGAUCUUUACGAUCACUUCGAACUGACGAUCUUUCGGUCAACCCGUCUGCUGUUGCUUCUUGCCAGGUCAAAGACCCAACAGCCCUUAGAAGGCCGUCUUCAGACUUUCGGUGAAAGUACAUACGUUUCGUCCUUGAACUGGAAGCCUUCGAACGAUCGACGCAGUGAAAUAUUUCAUGGUGUAUCAUAUAAUCUUCGAAAGGAGAAACAUGCUAUAAUCGCAAAGGUACAUUUUCCUGUUUGCAAAAGCGAGCUCUAAUGGAAACGUUCCUCAAAGAAGAAGUUUCUUAUCUUCUAGAACAUUUACACAGAAUUGAUCAAAGUUUCGGCUGCUUCCUGAUACAUCAUUGCCAUUCUCGAGGCCGUGAUGUCUGGUCUAUAUCCUUGAUGCAUACAAGCACAAUAAAGUGGAUGUAAUAUAGUACACAUAGGACUUUUUCGAACUCUGAGAGAAACCGUAACAUCUGAAUUAGGUUAACGAGUGUACGAGGUAAUGUCAUUUUGAGGUAGUCCAAAACUUUUCUUAAAUGAAAAGCAUGACGUAGUGGUGAAAAUUGUUCAGGAUUGUAACAUUGAGCCGAACAAAUAUCAUUUGCACCGAAGAAAAUAGUGAUCAACUGCAAUAAAAUUUUUUUUAGUGUUUGGUAAAAUUAAUCCUAGGAUCAUUUCUUAUUCUUUGCACGAGAAUUCUUGCUUGUUUUAUGGCAUCUUCGGUAGCUGCUACAGGAAAAGCGAUAUUUAAUCUCGCUUUUGAUGAAAUAAAUUCGCCUGUACCGGUCGAGUACCCAGUUAGAUUUGGAUUGAAUACCUGUUGUCAAAUUAGAAAAGAAGAAACAAUUAAAUUCUCUUUAUCUGCUGCAACGAAAAUAAAAUGGACUUCUAAUUUAUAACAAGUCUAUAAAAAACCAAAUCUUUAUAGCGUCUUCAUAAUAAAAAUAUUAAUAAUGAAUUCUGAAUACAAUGAUACCUUCAGUAAAUUCGGUAAUGUCAAAAAUCUUCGCCAAUUAUCUUGGCCACCUAUGCACCAGCUAACACCACGUGCUUCAAUAAAAGCUCCAAUCGCAAAUUCUUCCAAAGCUCCACUUCCAGCUACAAGAGAAUCACCGAGACCACCUAUUACGUCAAUAUCACCCGGUCUUAGUCUAUGAACAUUCUCCGCGAACCUGCCGAAACGAGUGUUACAAGGAAACGAUACCGUCUCUGGUAUGGUUGGUUGCCUUCGUACUCCAUCGAAGAUCAUUGGAUAAACUAUACCAUUACUAUUGAAAUCUUCCUACAAGAAGAGAA